AGCAGCCGCGGUAAUUCCAGCUCCAAUAGCGUAUAUUAAAGUUGUUGCAGUUAAAAAGCUCGUAGUUGAAUUUCGGGGUUAGUAGGCUGGUCGUGCCACAGGUAUGUACUGGUCUUACUGACUUCUCCUUUCUGAAGAACUGUAAUGCCAUUAAUUUGGUGUUGCAGGGAAUCAGGACUGUUACUUUGAAAAAAUUAGAGUGUUUAAAGCAGGCUAACGCUUGAAUACAUUAGCAUGGAAUAAUGAAAUAGGACGUUCGAUCCUAUUUUGUUGGUUUCUAGGAUUGACGUAAUGAUUAAUAGGGAUAGUUGGGGGCAUUAGUAUUCAAUUGUCAGAGGUGAAAUUCUUGGAUUUAUUGAAGACUAACUACUGCGAAAGCAUUUGCCAAGGAUGUUUUCAUUAAUCAAGAACGAAAGUUAGGGGAUCGAAGACGAUCAGAUACCGUCGUAGUCUUAACCAUAAACUAUGCCGACUAGGGAUCGGAUGAUGUUAAUUUUUUAAUGACUCAUUCGGCGCCUUA
RNAcentral lists this small RNA (520 nucleotides) under uncultured Glomus. RNAcentral's name for it is "SSU rRNA". It matches the Rfam family "Eukaryotic small subunit ribosomal RNA", at positions 569 to 1090 of the family's 1831-position model. The record is from RNAcentral. Lineage: Eukaryota; Fungi; Glomeromycota; Glomeromycetes; Glomerales; Glomeraceae.